CAGUCGCCACGGUAAUACAGAGGGUGCGAGCGUUAAUCGGAUUUACUGGGCGUAAAGCGUGCGUAGGCGGCUAAUUGAGUCGGAUGUGAAAUCCCCGAGCUUAACUUGGGAAUUGCAUUCGAUACUGGUUAGCUAGAGUGUGGGAGAGGAUGGUAGAAUUCCAGGUGUAGCGGUGAAAUGCGUAGAGAUCUGGAGGAAUACCGAUGGCGAAGGCAGCCAUCUGGCCUAACACUGACGCUGAGGUACGAAAGCAUGGGGAGCAAACAGGAUUAGAUACCCCCGUAGUCCCUGUCUCUUAUAC
RNAcentral lists this ribosomal RNA (301 nucleotides) under uncultured bacterium. Its description in RNAcentral is "partial 16S ribosomal RNA". It matches the Rfam family "Bacterial small subunit ribosomal RNA", at positions 509 to 807 of the family's 1533-position model. The record is from RNAcentral.